CGAAAAACAACCAUGGCUAUCCGCUUGCCUCGUAUCGUUGGUUCUAAGAAAGUUCCCAAGGGCUACUUUGCAGUUUAUGUUGGAGAAAACCAGAAGAGGUUCGUGAUACCAGUGUCGUUCUUGAGCCAGCCUUUAUUCCAAGAUUUGCUUGGCAUGUCACAAGAAGAGUAUGGAUAUAGUCAUCCUACAGGCGGUCUCACAAUUCCCUGCAACGAAGACAUUUUUCUCGAUGUUACCUCUUGUUUGAAUUGAUUGUGAGAGAAUCAACACAAAUCAGCCUAUACAAUUUUGUAAAGCAAAAAUCACUAACACCACGUAAACAUUUUUUCCUCCAUCCUUUUUGCCUUGGGGAGCAGAUACAAGUCUCCCUAAGUGAAAAAUUAGAGAUGGUGAUUACUGUAACUUCUAUCAAUCAGUAUGGAAAAUGACAAUUCAAAACGCAUCAAUAAAAUGGAAUUUUAUUUACUUCCAGAAUUUCCUAUCUUUAAAUUAACUGUAAAUGAUCUACCUUGUUCUAAGUUAUUCGGACUCUUCAUUUUCAUUAGAAUACAUGCAUCCAACACAAAUUCAAACAUGAGUCCAAAAUAGCAUGAUUCUCCAAAUAUAUGAAAAAACAUAGAAAAUGUAUUCAACAUUCAAGCACUAGCCCGAGUAACAUAGACUAUAAUAAUGAGUAGUCUUAUAUCCCCUUAUUGCAAUCUUUUAGCCAAAGAGUUAAAGCUUCGUUCUUUUCUCAAGUAGGAAUUAGUCUUUAUAUAUAAUAAUGAAUAGUCAAAAUAUGCAGAGAACACUUAACAAACAUGCCAUCAAACAAGUGGACUAAAAACAGGUUCAUCUGCAAGGUCAUCCAUAUAUAGCAGCACAUACCAGAAAUCUAGUGAGCUGUCAAGCUGAAUAUUGUUUUCAACUCCAUAGAACUAUUUGAUUGCAGCACGGCUAGUCAACAACAAGGAUAAAAUGCAAAUAGUUGGGUUCUGAUGAGGACUAGUUGCAACCUGUAGGACACACUUAAAGUGCUCUUCACAAGGGUUUGUCUUACAAGAUCCAUACCUUAUUAAAAUCAACAUGCUUGGUGAGGUCACCCAUGUUACAUGUUUCCUGUCAUUUUCUGAUAGAUUAUAUGUCUCUAAAGUAGGCACUGGCAUAAAUGGUGAAGUGGUACAACUCUCCUAUUGUAAAGAAGAAUUUUACUGGCCCAGAUCUUUCAUUCGACCAGUCCUUGGUCGGUUUCUAUUGCCAUAAGGGAUAGGCAAACUAAUUUUUCAAAGCCUUUCCCGUGGAAUUCUUUAUAAUGAGUUACAAGACAGCACCAUGUGAUCCUCCCCUAAUGAAGCCAUGUCUUUCUUAUUAGUUAUCAGACCCCAGAAAUUUCCCCUUCACCACUCAUUGAACAUCCCUACUCAACACAGGAACAUGAUUUUUUCUGUCUACCCCUUUCAUCUAUAUAUACAAAGAAGAAUAUGUUCAUUGGCAACACCUAUCUUCACAUUCUCAAAGUACUACAGUUCUCUGAGAUCUUCCUCUUCUUCCUUUUUAGAAGCAUUCAUCUAUCAAAAAUAACAAUGGCUAUCUGCAUGCCUCGUAUCAUUAGCUCUAAGAAAGUUCCCAAGGGCUACUUUGCAGUUUACGUUGGAGAAAACCAGAAGAGGUUCGUGAUACCAGUGUCAUUCUUGAACCAGCCUUUAUUUCAAGAUUUGCUUGGCAUGUCAGAACAAGAGUUCGGAUAUAGUCCUCUUACUGGCGGUAUCACAAUUCCCUGCAACGAAGAUAUCUUUCUCGUUGUCACCUCUCGAUUCAACUGAUUUGUGAGAGAUUUAACACAAAUCAACCCAUACAUUUUUGUAAAGCAAACAAAACUAACACUAUGUAAACACCUUUUUCCCAUCCUUUUCUGCCUUGGGGAGCAAAUACAAGUCUCCCUAAGUGGAAAGUUAGAAAUGGUUGUUACUGUAACUUCUAUCAAUCAGUACAAAAGAUGGCAGUUCGAAACACAUUGUUCAUUUCAAAUUUUAUUUCUUUUCAGAGUUUCCCCUGUUAUUGUUAGUUUCAUCUUUAUUUUUACUGUAAAUGAUCUACAUUGUUCAAAAUUUACUUCAACCAACAUGCUCAGUUAUAUAGACUCUUCAUUUUUCUUAAAGCAUCUGUUCUAACUUCUAACACCUAUAUCCAACACAUAUUUGGCUGUAAGUAUGAGAGUAUGAUCCUCCAAAUAUAUAAAAGAUUUUGACCUUGAAGAAAAGUGUCGUUUCCCCAAUUUUUAGUUGUGUUUCAACAGCAAAGAAAGAUAAAAUCUUGCUGUUUUUUAUAUUUAUUUUCUUAGUCGAGUCUACAUAGAAUGUCAAGGUAGUCCAUACUUGCUUCCUUCUGGUCAUUGUAUAACACAUUACAUGUCUCAAGCUUGCCUCUAAAAUCAAGAUAAAAUCAUUUGUAGUUGGACUCUUCAUUUUCUUCAAAAUACAAGUGUCUGGCACAAAUUCAAACACGAAUAUAAAGUAUAUGAUCCUCCAAAUAUAAGAAGAAAAAAAAAACUUAGAAAAAUUCGAGAACACCCGUAAAUACUCAAGCUCAAGUCCUGGUAACAUAGACUACAAGUAUUCUUUUUUGCAUAUUAGUAAGGUUAUUAAAUGAUCAAUUUUAUUUCAUAAAUUUCAAAGUAAUUUUCUUAAUGCAGAUUUGACAAAGAAUUAAUACCUAUGUCUCACUGUUCUUCAAAAGCCAGAAAUCAAUUUUUAACUAUAUAGACAAAGUGACUUGAAAUUAUAUAUGCAGAGAACUCAACAAUAUCAGUAAUGUGGAUUAAAAACAGAUUCAUCUCUAUGGUUAUUCAUAUCUAUAUAUAGCACAACAUACCAGAAAAUUUUGGUUAGCUGUCAAGGCUUAAUAUUGUAAUGGAACAAUUUGAUUGUAGCAUGGCAUAGACAACAACCAGAAUAAAAUGCAACCAAUUGGGGUUCCGAUGAGGACUAGUUGUAGCAUGUCCACACACUUAAGGCGCUCUUCAGAAGGGCUUGUCUUACAAGUUACUCACCAAAGGAAGACAUGAGUGUAAUAGGAGAGGUCAAGGUCACCCAUGUUAUAUGUUUCCUGUCAUUGUCUGACAGAUUAUAUGUCUCAAAUGUAGCCUGAAAUAAACGGCAAAGCAGUCUGUCCUUAGUCGGUUAUUCUUUCAAGCCUUAGCCAUGGAAUUCUUUAUCAUCCUUUGGAAGACAACACCAUGUGAUUCCCCAUGAACCCAUGUCUUUCUCAUUACGGAUCAGACCCCAUCAAUUGCACCUUCACCACUCAUUCCAUAUCCCCCCUUAAUAGUAGAUGAACAUGAUUUCCUCUCUGCCCCUUACAUCUAUAUAUACAAGUAAGAUUAAGUUCAUUGCCAACACCUACCUUCAACAUUCUCAAGCUUGCUUCCCCAAGUUAUCUGAAACCUUCCCUCUUCUUCCUUUUUCAAAGCAUACAUCUAUCGGAAAACAACAAUGGCUAUCCGCUUGCCUCGUAUCGUUAGCUCUAAGAAAGUUCCCAAGAGCUACUUUGCAGUUUAUGUCGGAGAAAACCAGAAGAGGUUCGUGAUACCGGUGUCGUUCUUAAACCAGCCUUCAUUUCAAGAUUUGCUAGGCAUGUCACAAGAAGAGUUCGGAUAUAGUCAUCCUACUGGCGGUCUCCCGAUUCCCUGCAAUGAAGACACCUUUCUCGAAGUUACCUCUCGCUUGUAAUAAUUGUGAGAUGAUUAACACAAAUCAGGCAAUAUAAUUUUGUAAAGCAAAAAUCACUAAUACAUGUAAACAUUUUUUUCUCCAUCCUUUUGGCCUUGGGGAGCUGAUAUAAGUCUCCCCAAGUGGAGAACUAGAGAAGGUGAUUAGUGUAACACUCCCAUCCAUCAGUAAUGAUAGUUCAAAACACAUCAUUCAAUUGUCAUUUUAUUUCCUUUCUGAAUUUUUUACUUGUUCGCGUUAAUUCAUCUUUAAUAUAAACUGUAAAUGAUCUACUUUGUUCUAAAAUUACUUUCAAACGUGAGUACAUGCUAAGUUAUUUGGAGUUGGACCCUUUAUUUUCGUUCAAUUUCAUGUGUCCAACACAUAUUCAAACAUGAGUACAAAGUCUAGUUAAGAUAGAUCACAAGUUUUCUUUUGCAUGGUAGUAGCUUAUUAAACGAUCAAUUUCGUGUUAUAAUUUUCAAAGUAAUUUUCUUAAUGUAGAUUUGCCCAAGAAUUAAGAUAUAUAAAGAUUUGAGGCAGGGGACUAAGUGAUUAAUAAAACGAACCUAAGGACAAAAGAUUUUAAAGGAAAAAAGAGAAAAGUAAAAGAGAGAUAAGUUCAUGAUACAUGCUGAUUAGUUUUAUCAGAAAGUAAACUUGCCUAAUAUGGACGUCUUUCCCACAUCAUUCUUUUUACUUACUUGGUUCUAUGAAAUAUGGUUAAUCGACAUUGCUCAAAUUCAAGAAAAUUUUCAAGUACUCUAAACUCCAAUCAUGUAUAUGGAGACAAAUAUACAAAUGACGGAAUGUAACAUCAAAUAGCAGAUUUUUUAUCCAAAAGGUAACGUCAAAUAUGUUCACACUAAGCAUAUUACUAUCCAAAAGGUGACAGCAGCUGCAUAAAUAACCAAAGGCCAUCUUGUUGUUUAUGUAGGUGAAUCCCAAAAGAGGCUGGUUUAUAAUUCCUGUUUCAUUCUUAAAGCACCCUUCAUUUCAAGAACUGAUAAAGUAGACUGAAGAGGAGUUUGGCUUUGAAUCAUCCAAGGGGUAGUCUCACAGUCCCAUGUGCAGAAGAAGCCUUCAUUGAACUUUCUUGUAGUUUGAAAAGCUUUCUCACUUUGACCUGACAUCUUAUCUCCCCAAUAUAAUAAUGAAUAGUAAAAAAUGUGCAGAGAACAGAACAAACAUACCACCAGAAAUGUGGACUAAAAACAGACUUAUUUGUAAUGGUAUCCAUAUAUAUAUAUAGCAGCACAUACCAGAAAUUUAGUGAGCUGUCAAGCUGAAUAUUGUCUUCACCCCUGUAGAACUAUAUGAUUGCAGCACGGCAUAGACAACAAACCUGGAUAAAAUGCAACAAGUUGGGUUCAGAUGAGGAGUUGUUGUAGCCUGUAGGACGCACUUUAGGCGCUCUUCACAAUGGAUUGUCUUGCAAGUUUUAUGUGAAGUCUGUACGAAAUAGGAGGUCAACGUCACCCAUGUUACUUGUUCCCUAUCAUUGCAUGACAGAUUGUAUGUCUCUAAAGGUUGGCUCUAACGUCAAUGGUGAAGUAAUAAAAAUCAUCUACUAGGAAGAAGCUUUUAUGAAUCCGAAUCUUCCAUAUCUGAGUAGGUCCUUAGUCGGUUCAUUUUCCCGGCAAGGUAGGGAAACUAUUCUUUCAAGUCUUAGCCAUGGAAUUCUUGAUAAUGCUUUGGAAGACAACACCAUGUGAUUCCCCGUAUACCCAUGUCUUUCUAUUUACUGAUCAGACCCCAGCAAUUGCACCUUCACCACUCAUUCCACAUCCCCCACUUAAUAAUAGAUGAACAUCAUUUCCUCUCUGCCCUACACAUCUAUAUAUACAAGUAAGAGUAAGUUCAUUGGCAACACCUCCCUUCAACAUUCUCAAGCUUGCUUUCCAAGUUAUCUGAUAUCUUCCUUUUCUUCCCUUUUGAAGCAUACAUCCAUCAAAAACAACAAUGGCUAUCCGCCUGCCUCGUAUGGUUAGUUCUAAGAAGGUUCCCAAGGGAUACUUUGCAGUUUAUGUUGGAGAAAGCCAGAAGAGGUUAGUGAUACCGGUUUCAUUCUUGAACCAUCCUUCAUUUCAAGAUUUGCUAGGGAAGUCAGAAGAAGAGUUUGGAUAUAGUCAUCCUACCGGUGGUCUCACAAUUCCCUGCAACGAAGACACCUUUCUCGAAGUUACCUCUCGCCUGUAUUGAUCGUGAGAUGAUUAACACAAACCAGUCAAUACAAUCUUGUAAAGCAAAAAUCACUAAAUACAUGUAAACAUUUUUUUCUCCAUCCUUUUUGUCUUGGGGAGCUGAUAUAUAAGUCACCCCAAGUGGAAAACUAAAGAUGGUGAUUACUGUAACACUCCUAUCUAUUCAGUAAUGACAGUUCCAAACACAUCAUUCAGUUGUCAUUUUAUUUCCUUUCUGAAAUUUUUACUUGUUUUACGUUAAUUCCGUCUUUAAUAUAAUUUAAAUGAUCUACCUUAUUCGAAAUUACUUCAUACUACAAGCCAAGUUAAAUGGAGAAGCAGUAGAGUACAACUAUUCUACUUUGAAGAAGCAUUUUAAAGAUGAAAAUUAAAACACAUCAUUCAAUUGAAAAUUUAUUUCCUUUGAGAAUUUCCUAUGGUACCCCUGUUAUUGUUAAUUUCAUCUUUAAACUGUAAGUGAUCCAUAUUUUUUCAACAAUUACUUCAUAUUACAAGCUAACUGUAAAUUACUAGCAUUUAUCAUUUUUCUCUACAUAUACGAGUAGUAAGGGUGCUUCCCACUGUCCAAUAUGAAUAUAAUUGUACAUAUAUAAUCUAACAUAAUGUAAAUUUCUGUAUUCUUUUGUCUCCAUUGUUCCUGUAAAGGAAAUUCAAAGUAAAAUUCACCACCCACUUUUAUUCUCCUUUUUGCAAACAAUGACUACUUAAUAUAUAGAUGUCAGCAAGUGGAAUGUAAGGCCACCAUCAUCAUCACUUCUUCUAUUCAAAUUCCCUUUUGACCAGUCGUCUUAUCUCCCCUUAUCCCAUUCAUUUAGCUAAAGUGUUAAGCUUACUGUUACUAAUAAAUGGUCAAUAUAUGCAGAGAACUCCACAAACAUGCCAUCAGUAAUGUGGAUUAAAAUCAUAUUCAUCUGUCAGGCUUAAUAUUGUCUUUCUCCCCCAUGGUACAAUUUGAUUGCAGCACAGCAUAGACAACAAGACGGAUAAAAAUGCAAGAAGUUGGGUUCUGACGAGGACUAGUUGCAGCCUAUAAGACACACUUCAGGUGUUCUUCACAAGCGUUUGUCUUACAAGUUACUCAUUGAAGUUAACACAUGACUGAUCAGACCAUGUGAUUUACCAAUGAAUUCUUGAUAAUCCUUUGGAAGACAACACCAUGUGAUUCCCCAUGACCCUAUGUCCUUCUCAUUACUGAUCAGACCCCAGCAAUAUGUCCCUUCACCACUCAUUCCCUUUGGCCCCCUUACAUCUAUAUAUACAAGUAUGAUUAUGUUCAUAUGCAACACAUAUCUUCACAUCCUCAAAGUACUACAGUUCUCUGAGAUCUUCUUCUACCCUUUUGAAGCAUACCUCUAUUGGAAAACAACCAUGGCUAUCCGCUUGCCUCAUAUCGUUGGUUCUAAGAAAGUUCCCAAGGGCUACUUUGCAGUUUAUGUUGGAGAAAACCAGAAGAGGUUCGUGAUACCAGUGUCGUUCUUGAGCCAGCCUUUAUUCCAAGAUUUGCUUGGCAUGUCACAAGAGGAGUUUGGAUAUAGCCAUCCUACAGGCGGUCUCGCGAUUCCCUGCAACGAAGACAUUUUUCUCGAUGUUACCUCUCGUUUGAAUUGAUUGUGAGAGAGUCAACCCAAAUCAGCCUAUACAAUUUUGUAAGCAAAAAUCACUAACACCAUGUAAGCAUUUUUUCCUCCAUCCUUUUUGCCUUGGGGAGCAGAUACAAGUCUCCCUAAGUGAAAAAUUAGAGAUGGUGAUUACUGUAACUUCUAUCAAUCAGUAUGGAAAAUGACAAUUCAAAAGGCAUCAAUAAAAUGGAACUUUAUUUACUUCCAGAAUUUCCUAUCUUUAAAUUAACUGUAAAUGAUCUAUGUUGGAACUUAAGCAGUAAAACAAAAACAAAAACAGCAGACUAAGCAAAGAAAUCGAAGCAUAAACAAAAUGAAAAAAAUUGGGAGAAUUGUAACCGAAAAAAUUCAUCUUAAUUUUUCAUUCAAAAUUUGAAUAAUAUAUAAGUUACAAAGUAAUGGGCAGUUAGCUAAUGACUUAAUUGCUUCCACUAAUACAAGACUAAGAUUUGUUUGAAUUACACACAAAAGAUAGCUGACAUAUCAGCUAUUACAUCAACUUAGAUCAUAAACUAAUCCUACUAACUUUGUAAACAAAUUACAAAUGAAUUAGCCAAAGUUACAUAGGAAAAAAAUGAUCAAAACAUAUUGUUGCAUUCGGUUCAGCUCCAUUUCUGCACUUCAAACAGUCUUGCUGCUGGUGUUGUGCUGAACUGCAACUGGUCUCCUGUUGCAAUGCAGGCCAAAGCUAGUAGCUCCUAAUGGCUUAGUUAAAAUGUCAGCCAAUUGAGUUUCUGAGCUACAAUGGACAAACAAGAUUGACUUCCCUUGAUUGCUCAGCUUCUCGAACAAAAUGGAAUUUGAUUUUAAAGUGUUUAGUCUUGCCAUAAAAGACUGGAUUUUUGGUUAUAACAACUGCAGAUUGGUUAUCCACCCUAAUCUCAGUUGGUUCAGCUUGUUCUUCAUUAAGAUCAUAUAGGAGCUUCCUAAGCCAAAUGGCUUGAUUAACAGCUGCAGCUGCUGCAAUGUAUUCUGCUUCAGCUAUGGAUUGAGCAACAGUUUGUUGUUUCUUUGAACUCCAGAAGAAGACACCUGAUCCAAGUGUAAAGAAGUAACCAGAGGUGUUCUUCAUGUCAUCGGCAGAGCCAGCCCAAUCACUAUUAGAGUAUCCUGCUAGCUUAAGCUCCUUUCCCUUCUCAAACUUGACUCCAUAACUUGAAGUUCCCUUGACAUAUCUGAGAAUUCUCUUGGCUGCUUUGAAAUGAACCACAUCAUAGCAGUGUAUAAACCUUGACAAAAGACUAACACCAAACAUAAUAUCAGGCCUAGUUACUGUUAAGUAAAGCAAGCAACCUACCAGGCUUCGAUAUUCCUUCUCAUCAAUUCUCACUUGAUUCCCAUUGCUAGUCAGCUUCUCCCCUUGAGCCACAGGUGUGCUGACUAUUUUGCAGUUCUGCAUAUAAAGUUUAUUAAGAAUUUUUAAAGCAAAGGCAUGUUGAAUAAUGAAAAUACCUUGAUCAGAUUGAUGCACUUCCAUACCAAGGAAGUAUGUCAUGACUCCCAAAUCUGUCAUUUCUAGUCAGCUUCUCCCCUUGAGCCACAGGUGUGCUGACUAUUUUGCAGUUCUGCAUAUGAAGUUUAUUAAGAAUUUUUAAAGCAAAGGCAUGUUGACUAAUGAAAAUACCUUGAUCAGAUUGAUGCACUUCCAUACCAAGGAAGUAUGUCAUGACUCCCAAAUCUGUCAUUUCAAACACCUCUUGCAUCUGCACUUUGAAUUCACUAAUCACUUCAUGUUUGCUUCCAGUCACAAGUAAGUCAUCCACAUAGAGAGAAACAAUCAGCAAUGUCUCACUUUCUGACCUCUUCACAUAAAGUGUAGCCUCAAUAACACUUUUUUCAAACCUGAGCCUAGACAGGUAUGUGUCAAUCCUAUCAUACUAGGGUCUUGGUACCUGCUUCAGGCUAUAAAGAGUCUUUCUCAAUCUAUAGACUUUGUCUUCAUCACCUACAACUUUGAAUCCAUCAAGUUGCUCAAUGAAAAUCUCCUCCUUGAGGAAACCAUUCAAAAAUGCUGACUUAACAUCUAAUUGAUGAACAUUCCAUUACUUCUGAGUAGCCAAGGCAAAAAAAAGUUUAAUUGUGUCCAGCCUUGCCACUAGAGCAAAUGUCUCCGUGAAAUCGAUGUCAUAUUGCUGGCUGUAGCCUUUUACCACAAGCCUUGUCUUGUGCUUGUUCAAUGAGCCAUCAGCAUUUUACUUGGCUCUAAACACCCACUUAACACCAAUGACCCUCUUAUGAUCAGGUCUGUUCACCAGUUCCCAUGUAUCAUUCUUGUAGAUCAUUUUCAAUUCAGCUUCUAUGGCCCUUUUCCAAUGUUUGUCAUUGGCAGUUUCUUUAAAAUCAGAGGGUUCAACUAUUGCAACAUCACAUCUUUGAUAGAUGUCAAUAAUAGUUUUGGUGCCUCUCACAGGAGCAUCAUCAAUGGCUUCAUUGCUGGGUCCUUCUUCAGCAGGUUCAAGAACAAAAUCUUGCUAAUCUUCUUCAAUCAAGCUGGCAUCAACACCUUUCCAGCUCCAAACCUUACAUCCCUACUCACCAAAAUCUUCUUUGUUGAGGGAUCAAACACUUUAUAGUCCUUCUUAGUACUACUAUAGCCAACAAAGAUCCCUGGAACAACUCUUCUUUCAAGCUUGGUCCUUUUUUCUACUGGAGAGCAUAACACACACAGCCAAACACUUCCAGGUGUGAAACAAUUGGCUUAAGUCCAUACCAAGCUUCAAAAGGAGUCUUGUCCUUGACAGCAUGAGUUGGUAGCUUAUUGAGUAGGUACACUGAAGUAUUGACUACCUCAGCCCAAAAUUUGCUUGGCAGUUUGCUCUGAAAUAGCAAAUAUCUAGCCAUAUCAAGCACAGUUUUAUUCUUCCUACCUGAGACCAUUGCCGGAAUCGAGCACGAAGCAUUACCUAACUUAACUUACUAAAUCGGAGCAUAAAAAUUUUCUUUUUAAAAAAAAUUAAUUCACUCACGUUCAAUCAAUAUGUCCCUAAAAAGGAUCAUCAAGACCCUAAAACAUGCAAUGAAAAUGGUUCAGGUCCAAACCGGGAAUAUUAAAAAUUUUUCAAAUACUUAAACAAAUUAAAAAUAAUUUAUCACUAUUCACAAUAAAACUGUCCAACUGCACAGUAGUCACUAAAUUAAUUAUAACUUGAGUUACGAAACUAGAAAUUUAAAUAUGUAAAAUUUCUCUAAAACUAGACUCAUAUAUCUUAUUAUCAUAAAAUUUUCAGAAUUUUUGGAUUGGCCAAUUAGUACAGUUUAUUAGUUAAAGUCUCCCCUGUUUCACUAUUUGAUAGUUUUGACCUCUCGUCACUAAAAAUUAAUUAUCUCAUUGUACAGAUUUCAUAUGCUACUUCCGCUUGUUUCUACUGAAAAUAGACUCACCAAGGAAUCAAGAAAUAUAAAUUAUAACUCAUAAUUAUUUCUGUACAAUUUUUAAUAAUUUUCCAAAUUCAGGACAAGGGAUUUCAAAAUCAUUCUGACCCUAUCUCACUAAAAUUCAAAUAUCUCAUAAUAUAAAAUUCAUUUGCCUAUACCGUUUCUUUCAUAUGAAAAUAGACUCGAUAAUAUUUAAUCCUAUCUCACAUUCACUAUCUAAUUCCAUUACUAAUAUCCUCAGUGAAAUUUUCAAAAUCACAUCACUGCUACUGUCCAAGAAAAAAAACUAUUCCAUUGUAUUUUUUUUUUUACUCUUUCAUAAUUUCUUUGUAUUAACUAGCAUUUAGGCAUACAUAACACUAAACAUAUUCUUAAUUAGUCAUCUCAAUAGCUAAUCAUUAUCAAAUAACUUUACUUCCCUAUUUCAACCUUUUUCGAAACACAAUCCAAACAAUUAACCAUGUUAUUUAAUCAAGCAUGAAACCACACAUAUCAAAAUAAACAAGCCAUUUUUGCAUGGCUCAUUAUACAUAUAUAUACAUCAUUCAAAAUAUAUUCCAAAAAGUAGUAUAGACUAUACAUGCCAUAAGUUUAAGUUUAACUUUUAUAGAUACCGAUAACGGACGAUAGUGUGAUUGAUUUCGUUAACGAUCCCCGAUCCCGCAACUAACUUCCAAAAUCUAUAAAACCGAGGCAAACACAUAUGCACAGUAACCUAUCAAAGCUUAGUAAGUCAUAAGCAAAUAAACAAUCCAAUGUUAUUAAUAGUUCAAUAUCACAUAACCAAAUUAUUCAAUUCAUAUCCAUAUAUAUAUAUAAGCAUUAAAAAAAAAACAUAAUUGUGAUAUCACAUACCCUUAUCAUUUGGCCAAAUAUAGUCUUUAAUACACACACACAUACUUUCAUUUACAUCAUCUAAUUUGUAUCACAAAUGAAAUAACCAACUUACCUUGAUAUCAUAUAUUAUUUAACUAUUACAUACUUGUAAUAUCAUGUACUUAUAUGUCACAUUCAUCAUUCACUGGAUCCGCACAAUUUGUGCUAAAUAAUUUGUUGAAGCUAUAAUGACGUUGCACAAUUAGUGCUCUCUCUUAUUUAACGAAAUUGAUCUUGGUAUUGCACACUUAGUGCUCGUUAUUCGACAUCGUCAUUUUUGUUUCGCACACUUAGUGCCCGUUAUUCAACGUCUUCAUUUUAAUUUCUCACACUUAGUGCCAUUCGUAUAGCCAUAGCUAUUCCAUACUCGCACACUCAGUGCUAAAUAUCGGUAAAUCACAUCCACAUCUAUUUCUGUUACCCGAACUUAAACACAUUCAGCUACAUAUAUAUAAAUUUGCAUGUUUUCAUUUCAGAAUAUAUAUAACUAAUAUUUAUUUAGAAUUUAUAUCAUCUAUUUGCUUAUAAACUUACCUCGGAUAACGAUAAACCGGAACGGAACGAUUAAUCGACGACUUUUGUUUUCCCCCGAUCCAAGUCCGAUUUCUUUAAUUCUUGACCUAAACAUAUUCAAAUUAAACUCAUUCAAACAUAAUUUCAUUCAAUUCAGUCAAAAACGCAUAAAUAAGUAACUUUCACUUUUGCCCCUGACAUUUCACAUUUUUUACAAUUUAGCCCAUAUUUCACAAAAUACAAAAUAUUCCAAAUUUGACCACACUAUGGCUUGGCCGAAUAUUCCCUAAACUCAUAUAAGUCCAUACAUGUCAUUUAUUUCACAUAUUUAACACCUAUUUUAUAACCUUUACAAAAUGGUCCUUUUAAGUGUUUUCAUGGUAACACCUUUUACAAAAGUUGUUUAUUUAACAACUAGGAGUCAUUUUCUUCCAUAAAAAUGCAGCAACAUCACAUGGAAAAACCCUAGACUUCCAACUAUUUUGCAAAAUAGUCCCCUCAUUAGCUAGCUCAAGCUACAAGGGUUCCAAAAGUACAAAAAUUAUCAAAGAAUGGUCAUCAAAACACUUACUUGUAAGGAGAAAAGCUUGCUGAAAUUUUUAAGCUCUCAAACCCCUACUUUGCUGCUAAUUUUCGGUGAUGAAGGUGGAGAAAAAAAGAUGAUAUCACUCUUUUCUUUAUUUUAUGAUAAAAAUCAAUUUAGUCACCAAAUUUUUACCUAACCAAUUGACCAAAUCUUUUCUUUGUCCCUAUGGCCGGCCACCACCCUAAACAAGGCCUAAUUGCACAUUAGGGACCUCCAAUUAAUAUUCUAUAGCUUUUAGACACCUUUAGCUUGUAAAGUAGAACUUUUACACUUUAUGCGAUUUAGUCCUUUUAUCAAAUUAAGCACACAAACAGUAAAAUUAAAUCACGAAAUUUUCACACAUAUUAAUUCACAAGUUAUAAACAUAGAAAAUAAUAUUUAAAAAUUUUUCUAACUCGAAUUUGUGGUUUCGAAACCACUAUUCCGAUUAGGAUCGAAAUCGGGUUGUUACACAUACUCCAUUCUGUUGAGGAGUAUACACUGUUGUUAGCUGAUUGUGAAUUCCAACUUGUUCACACAGUUUCUGAAACCUUUCAGAUAGGUACUCAGUGCCAUUAUCAGUUCUCAAGGCCUUGAUCUUGCAACCUGUUUGGUUUUCAACUAAACCUUUGAAUUUGCUGAAUGCUUCAAACACUUCAGAUUUUUGCUUCAAGAAAUAAACCCAACAGAACCUGGUUAAGUCAUCUAUGAACAAAACAAAAUACUUAUUGUCAUUCAAUGAAGAAGUCUUCAUUGGUCCACAAACAUCAUAAUGAACCAAUUCAAGCUUUUCUCGAGCUCUCCAUGCACUGUUAGCUGGAAAAGGCAAUCUAGCCUGCUUACCAAGCUGGCAGACUUCACAAACAAUGUUUCUUAUCUCAACCCUAGACAUGUCCUCAACCAAGUUCAGCCUAUGCAACAAGUCAAGUGAUCUAUGGUUAACAUGGCCAAGCCUUUUGUGCCAUAGGCCAACAUUAUCAACAAGACUGGUGUAGGCUUUCUUCUCGAGUUGAUUCACAUUGAGCAUAAAACACUUGUCCGUCAUUGCUACUGUGACUAACUUCUGGCCAAAUGAAUCUUUAACAAUGCAGGAGAUAUCUUUAAAGACCAAAGAAUAUCCUUUUUCCACUAACUGACCAACACUAAGCAGAUUCUGAUCUAUGUCAAGCACAAAAAACACAUCAGAAAUGAUUUUGUUACCUGAACAAGUCUUGAUCACAACAUCUCCUCUGCCUUGAGCUUCAAUUAGAUUCCCAUUACCAAUUUUGAUUUUUGCAGCAAAGCUUCUAUCAAGGUCUUUGAACAGCUUCUCAUCAGCUGCGCCAUAUGGUGUGAGCAACCACUAUCCACUAGCCAGUCACAUCUGACUUUGCUUGUGCUAGCAAAGUAGGAGGCUGUGACAAACAAUUGGGAGAAUUAUAACUGAAAAAAUUCACCUUAAUUUUUCAUUCAAAAUUUGAAUAAUAUAUGAGUUACAAAGUAAUGGGCAGUUACCUAAUGACUUAACUGCUCCCACUAAUACAAGACUAAGAUUUGUUUGAAUUACACGCAAAAGAUAGCUGACAUAUCAGCUAUUACAUCAACUUAAAUCAAAAACUAAUCCUGCUAAAUUUGUGAACAAAUUAAAAAUGAACUAGCCAAAGUUACAUAGGAACAAAAUGAUCAAAACAUAUUGUUGCAUUCGGUUCAGCUAUAUUUUUGCACUUCAAACAGUCUUGCUACUGGUGUUGCGCUGAACUACUGCUGGUCUCCUGUUGCAAUGCAGGCCAAAGCUUAACAAUCUACCUUGUUCUAAGUUAUUCGGACUCUUCAUUUUCAUUAGAAUACAUGCAUCCAACACAUAUUCAAACAUGAGUACAAAAUAGCAUGAUUCUCUAAAUAUAUGAAAAAACAUAGAAAAUGUAUUCAACAUUCAAGCACUAGUCCGAGUAACAUAGACUAUAAUAAUGAAUAGUCUUAUAUCCCUUUAUUGCAAUCUUUUAG
RNAcentral lists this long non-coding RNA (14821 nucleotides) under Gossypium raimondii (Peruvian cotton). RNAcentral describes it as "long non-coding RNA (GRAI_LNC004257)". Lineage: Eukaryota; Viridiplantae; Streptophyta; Magnoliopsida; Malvales; Malvaceae. The record is from RNAcentral.